Molecule: long non-coding RNA, 244 nt
Filed under: Lathyrus oleraceus (garden pea)
Lineage: Eukaryota; Viridiplantae; Streptophyta; Magnoliopsida; Fabales; Fabaceae
Description: Pisum sativum (pea) long non-coding RNA (PSAT_LNC037236)
Source: RNAcentral
AAGUGGUUAAGCAACCAAGCAAAAGCAAGUUCAAAAUGAACUUAAGCAACUAAUGUACCUGUGGAAACAUCAAACAAAUCAGUAUACAACUCAGACAAUCAAACAACAUUAAUAUCAACAGUCAAACCCAAUAAGCAAAGGCAUAAGCCACAAUCCCAAACUCAAAUGAGUUAACAACCCUACAAAACACACAAUGUUAGUAGACAAAGGUAAACAUCAAAUGCCCAAAUGAUGGAGCAUCAUG